RNAcentral lists this long non-coding RNA (3293 nucleotides) under Sus scrofa (pig). RNAcentral describes it as "lncRNA (ENSSSCG00000058509.1, ENSSSCG00110024594.1, ENSSSCG00175012777.1)". Lineage: Eukaryota; Metazoa; Chordata; Mammalia; Artiodactyla; Suidae. The record is from RNAcentral.
AACCAACUCUCAGAAGACCGUUCGGUGGACAGAGCAGCACCUUAGAAAUCAUGUGACAUGUUGUAAUAAGUCCAUGUUGAUGGGACACGAUCAUCUACCAAAUUUCCCGUUUGUUUUUCCCUGGGAUGUUUUGCCCGAGUCUCUUCUUCAUUUCCUCCUUUCCAUCGAUAACUGCAGUGGAAAUUAAAUGCCAUUCACCUCCUUCGGGGUCCAGGUCGUGCCUCUUAGAAAAGCAAAUCAGUGUCGCUAAACUCUUUCUGAGUUGGUUCUGUAGAGUAACGACCGAGAGUGAACACCACGUUUGAAGAAACGUAAUUCAGACACGGCCUUUACUGAUGAGAACAAUUUUGCUAACGCGCGAAAGCUUUUUAUAAAGAGAAUAAUGUAAGAAGUAGAUGUAAUCAAAGGAAUGAGCCCUUUAGAUGACAGUUGGGUGAUAAUGAGAACUUGAUUCCAUGCUUAUGAGUUAUUUCGUUACUUUAGUCUAGUGGCCUGAAAGGUCCUUUAAAAAUCAUCUAGGUGGAUAUUUUAUAGGCAGCUAAUAGAGUGCAUGGUUGUUUCCAUUCAACUUUAAAAUAAACUUCAAAGUCCGAGAACUUUCUGUAUUACGUGGGGUUGUCGAAUUACAUACUGUUGAAAGGCAUGAUUUUCAUAUGCAAAAUAUCUUCCCAACAUGUGUCUGUUUUAAAAGGAUUCUUUUACUUAAAAUGUAAGAAUACAAAAAUAAAUACUUUAGCCAGGAAAAGUGGGUGAGCGCUUUAAGGAAGCGUGGGUCCCCUUUGAAACGUACCUUUGUCUCUAACGCCUGAGCCAUCCCUGAAGAUUAGAGACGGGACCCAAGGAGGGCUAUUCUUCAUCUUUUACCUGCUCAUUAAACGCCAGAUAGUUUUUUACUCAAUUAUGCAUCUGCCAAUGAAAAUAGCGAGCAAAGACAACAUCAAGGCCAUGUUUUCAUCUCCAUCGUGUUCCCUCGUGAAUUACAAGGUUGUGGGCUCUCCUGCAACACUUUAUAUUGACCCAGGCUUCAUAAAUCUGGUACAGGAGACUGAGCGGCUGAGCUCUAUGUUGUGAGCCUGUCUUUCUACCAACAGCAUUAAUCACUCGCUCGAGAGGAAGUAGCCGUGCAAGAGCGUUCUGCCUUCUGCUCUCGCCAGAAAGGACGUCUGAACAGAAGCCUUCAUGUUGCGCCUUUUCCCAGGGUUUUCAGUGCUUAGCCCUCUCUACAGGCUUCCAAGCCGUGAUCUCUCCUGUGCUCCUUAUGAGGCAGUGUCAAAAUAAGCCAAAAACAUACAAAGAAUGCUACACAUAUGAGAAAAAUCGUUGUAAGCUACAAUUUCUAAAGAUGGAGCUAAAAUUAAAAGGACAUUAGAUGCAUUUGUCUAUGAAAAAAAUUAAUCUUCCGUGUCCAGAGUCACUUGAAGUUGGAAAUGCAUCUGAGAUAGAAUGAUUUUUAUUCAGUUUUCUCCUUCAGGAAAUACUAAAUUUAACCGGAAACCAGCCAACACAUCUGUCUCUGAAAUGUUCCAGCAAAAGAUUCUAACUGUGGGCCCAAUAGGUUAUGCAUCUGGCCACCAGCGUUUUAAGCGGAAGAAAGGAGGGUUAUGACUAACACACAGGAAAUGGUGUUAUUCGAAUCAAAAAGUGAGGCUAGUGUGAAUGAGAUGAAAUAAAUGAGGUGGUUUUAGCUAGUACAAUCAUGCUGUUUCUCCCCAUUGUUUUAGUGCAUAAACAGAUGCAUCAGUACAUAUUUUUACUAAAGAAUCACUAAAAGUAAAUGCCCUUAUAUGUCCUUUUACAAGCUGGUUUUUCCUUUGCUCUCCUGUAACUUACUGGAUAACUCUCACGAGAGAUUUAAUUUCUUUUUUGGUAAUUGUUAACUUUUAUUUUUUGUCUUUUUCGGGCCACACCUGAGGCAUGUGAGGGUCCCAGGCUAGGGGAUGAAUCAGAGCUGUAGCCUCGGGCCUACGUCACAGCCACAGCAGGCUGGGAUCUGAGCCGCAUCUGCGACCUACCUCACAGCUCACGGCAAUGCCAGAUCCUUAACUCACUCGAACCUGCGUCCUUAUGGAUGCUAGGCAGAUUCGUUUCUGCUGAGCCAUGAUGGGAACGCCAUUAACUUUGUAACUUUUUUAUUGAAGUAGAGUUGAUUUGUAAUGUUGUAUUAUCUGGUGUACAGUAAAGCGAUUCAUGUGUUUAUAUAUAUAUAUUUUUUUCCAUUAUAGUGUGUCACAAGAUACUGAAUAUAAUCCCCAUGCCGUACAGCAGGCCUUGUUUAUCUGUUCGCACACAGUGCUUUGUACCUGCGAGUCCCCAGCCCCUGAUUUAUCCCUCCCCCCACAUUUCCCUCUGGGUGAAACCGUUAAGUCUGUGUCUGUGCGUUUGUUUUGUAAGGGGUCCAAGUCCUUUUGUAAGUCCUUUUAUUUAAAAAGUAAGAUGCAUCCUGCUGAACUCUGCUCUCCCUGACACCGCCCGCUAGUUCACAGAACACUUCCCUCUCUCCUCUGUUCUCUUAAAAAAGAAAAGUCAAAAGCUUCCAUGAAAUACAAAUUAUAUAGGUUGGUUUUACUUCUAAGGCAAAUCUGAUGGCAUUUUAUUGGGGAGAAACAAAGACUAGAGUUCUUAGCAUUUGUUUUAUUUUUUUCGUACUAGUGUGGAAGGCGUGUUACAGUUUCAGGAAACGUUGCUCCCAUCCUUUUUUCCAUCAUUUGUGAUACUUUCGGAAAACUGUUUAAACGAGUUGAACCGUAUACAAUUCAUCAGACUGAUUUCUUUCAUAUUGCUGGCAGUUUUAAUUACUAUCGAUAAUAUUAUUUGCCAAUUAUACUGAGUCAGGAAAUAGGAAGGUUAAUUGAGUUGACUUUUUAAAAAUAUAAAAUGUUAAUCAUUUUCCCCAGCUCUUUGUACGAUGGACUAAGGUUUUCAUCUCUAUCUGUCACUCACUGGCAGCUUGUAAAGCUGUGGACUCUCUCAGCUUUAUCUGUGUGAUAGAAACCGUUUUUAAUACUGCAAAAUCUCAUGGUGGAUAGAGAACCAGAUUGCCAAAAGAUUUGGUCAGGAGUUCCCGUCGUGGCGCAGUGGUUAACGAAUCCAACUGGGAACUAUGAGGUUUCAGGUUCGAUCCCUGGCCUUACUCGAUGGGUUAAGGAUCCGGCGUUGCCGUGAGCUGUGGUGUAGGUUGCAGACGUGGCUCAGAUCCCGCAUUGCUGUGGCUCCGGCGUAGGCCGGCGGCUACAGCUCCAAUUCGACCCCUAGCCUGGGAACCUCCAUAUGCUGCGGGAGCAGCCCUAGAAAAG